Podarcis lilfordi (Lilford's wall lizard) is the source of this 4792-nucleotide non-coding RNA. Lineage: Eukaryota; Metazoa; Chordata; Lepidosauria; Squamata; Lacertidae. The record is from the annotation of a GenBank genome assembly.
AUAGCUUUCCAAGUUCUGAAGUGAGGCUGAAGGCACAAACGUUUGCAAUAUUAAAUGUCUAUCAUACAACAUUUUAAAAACAAAACAAAACAUUUUCAUGCUGCACUGUGAGAAAUGGUAUAUUGCGCCAACCGUUGUAAUUGAUGCAUGAGGCCUUAGUCUUGGUGCGCUCAACUUGACUCUACUUAAAUAAAGUUAUGGCACCCAGGCAUAGUUCAUCAGGCCCACCUGAGGGAUGAAGCCUGGUGCACCCUGGGCAUAGCCCAAAAGAAAAAAAAAAUGGAGCCUAGUACACCCAUGGCAUGGUGACCACAGAAACCACUGUGUUCAUCUAAGGCAGAGUUUCAAAACUUGGGUCCCUAUCUGUUUUUGGACUCCCUUCAUCCCUAGCUAGCAGGACCAGUGGUCAUGGAUGAUGAGAACUGUAGUCCAAAACAGCUGGAGACCCAAGUUUGCGAAACCCUGAUCUAAGCUGUACAACUACUUGUAUGCACUUCUAAGUCACCUAUGUAGGGUUUUAAUUUUAGGAGGAUUUUUAAUUAGUUAAUUAAAAGUUUGAUCUGGAAGCUCCUUCUAAACUUCCUUAUCACUUUCACCUGGUCUGUGGAGCUUUUGGUCAUCCACUGGACUUAUGGUGUCAACAGAACAAAUGAAGUUAUGGCUUAAUCUCCCUUACAGUUUAACCUUUAGCCUAUGGUUUAACCUCUAAGGGAAUAAAGGCACAUAAGCAUAUAAAGAAUAAACAAAAGAGACAUUUCUUACAUUCCAAGACAGCAGGGAUAUUGAUGCUGAUCUGUCUGCCUGGACCACUGUUCUGACAUAGUCCAUAAGUGUAGGGGUGCAGUCCGUGUAAGGUGAUGUGCCUCAAUUGCAGUAUUUCUAAACCCCUCCUUUUCUACACAUGUGAAUUUGGCCUCUGUCCCAGAAGUCAGACACAUGGAGUGGUAGUCAACAAAGUUUUACUCAGAGUAGACCCACUGAAAUUAAUGGACCUAACUUACUCAUGUUCGCUAAUUUCAGUGGGCCUACUCUGAGCAAAACCUAGUUGAAUAUCACCCAUGUACUGUCUAUGAGUGUCCCAGGAAGUCCAUAGGUGUUUACUUCCCAUCAUGUGCCUCUGACCUUUUCAUUUAUUCUGCUUGCUUUCUAUUUUUGAUUCAGUCUAACCGCAAGACUAAACACAUCUAUUUUUCCUGUUCUGCUGCAGACAGCUUUUUACGAUAUGUGUGAAAAAGAACACAUGCCCUAUUUCACCUGCCACUGAGCAAUACACCCACAAAUCACAUCAGGCUAACACAGAUGACCCUUAUACUGCCCAAACUAUAUCUGCAUCACAUGCAGAAAGCAAGAACUGUAAACAUUCAUGCAGAAUAAAUAACUCAAGCUGGGGAACUCAGCUGCAUACUACCUGUAUGAUACACACAUAUGCAGCAUACUGUUAAGAACUGAGCAUUUAGAGAACAUUCUAAAAAUUAUGUUCCCAUUCUGCUAAUGGUGAAGGUCACCAGUGAAUCCAUGGCAGAGAACUCAAAUCACAUGCAGAGUGAAUCAUUCAGGAAAAUGUCAAGCCAUAGGCAAAGAAAAUCACACACAUGCAUUAUGUGGUCAUAGAAUCAAGCACAUAGAAAACACAAAUGGUUGUAUUUACCAUGGCAUGAGGAGUUCCGCUUUCAUAAUGCAACUUCUGUUUCUGCCAUUUCAUUCCCCACCCCAAAUCUGUUCCUGAGGGUCCCCCAAUCCUCUGGGGUUGAUUUUGAGGGCACUGGGGGCAGAGAAGAAGCCUGUUACAGCAGUAAUAGAGAGCAUGUGGGGCUUUGCUGCUCACAUGACUUCCUUCUAACUCAGUGGCUGCUCCACAGCCUGAUGGAGAGAGGAAGGGGCAAGAUGCUGGUGAGGUGCAAAUGUGCUGGCAGGAGCACCAAGUUGGCUUUGGCAGCCUUGCCCUCCUGGUAUUCAGCCAUGACUCAACCAGAAAGAGAUCAAGUAGCAGCCCAGCCCUACCACACCAUCAGCUAUUGGUCAGCAGAGCUGCCACAUUAGUCCAAACAUUUCUCAUGGAUUGCGUGAUCCAGAUUCAUUAUAGAAUGAUAACCUAAGAGGGAUCAGGAAUUUGUGGCCCUCUAUGUGUUGCUGUGACUCCAAUUCCUGUCAUCCCUGUCCAUCAGUUGUGAUGGUUGGGGCUGAUGGAGUUGGAGUCCAGCAACAUCUGAAGGGCCACAUGUUUCCCACUCUGGUCUAAGAUCAGACCUAUGAAGUUUGCUCUGUUUCUCUCCUGUCCUGCCCCUUGUGUUCACACAGACCCAGGCUUUCCCCUCUCUUGUAUAGGAACUGGGUAUCCAAAACCCGCCUGGGUCAUUUUCUUCUUGUGCAGUUGGCAUCCUUACUUAUCAUGUAGCAAGUUAUGAAGAAAGCCUCAUGUUAGCACCUGACCUUUCUGAUAAUGAUAAAACUAUAAAUGUUUGUUUUGUUGUAUAAAAAUAGUAGCAAACUAAGAUGUCUUGCCAUUUGUACGACUACAACAGUCUGAAAGGGAGGGAUCCUCUAAUAAGCUGUCACUGUUCUGUUAGCUCCUUUUAGCACACAUAGACUAAUCCUGCUGGGAAACUGAUAGAAUUUUAAAUGAAUUGGCUGUCAUCUUUGUUAACAAAUACAAUUUAUGUGCUUGUGUGUGGGAAUUCUGUUAAUUCUCCAUUGAGUGACAUUCAGGAGCAUCAGUAAGAUUCAGCUACCUUGGAAGCAAGAGACUUGCUUUCCUAAUAUUUUUACACUUAUCCACAGUGGGAGGUAGUAAUGCUUCUGAAUACAAGUUGCUAGAAACCACAGGAGGGCUCUUGUGCUUAGGUCCUACUUCCAGGUUUCCCAUAGGCAUUUGGAUGGCCUCUUUGAGAACAGGCUGCUGGAUUGGAUGGGACAUUGGCCCUUCUUACAUUCUAAGGAACUGAUUGUAUACACAUAAUUUAUGAGAUACUGCAUGGAGAUUUUUGGCCAUGAUGUAUUCUCUGCAUAUCUUGCAACAUAUUACGGUACUAGAGUUGUUUGAGAAAGUUGUAUCAUCUGUUUUCUUCUUGCCUGCCAGGCAUAAGGGUUCCUCAAAUCUUUACAUCCCACCUAGACAGUAUGUGAUUCACCAAGCUAAACACAGAUCACCUGCCAUGUCUCAGUAGCAUAAGUAGCAUAAGCUGCCUUAGGCUGAGUCAGACCAUUGGUAGAUCUAGCUGAGUAUUGUCUACAGUGACUGGUGGUGAUUCUUUAGGAUUUCAGAGAGGGUUUUCCCCAUGCCUACCAGGAGGUGUCAGGGAUUUACUCUGGGAUCUUCUGUAUUCAAAGCAUGUGCUCUAUCACUGAGCCACAACUAUUCCCAUUGCUUAAUGUCUUUUACUGAAAAAUGAUAGGGACAUAAUUAAGUACCUGGCAUCAGGACACCCACUCUCAUUUUGCCACCAGAGGCAAAACAGGAAUUGUUGCCUCCUGCACCCCUGCCACUAUGCACCCCUUUCUGCUGCCCUCCCACCACUUCCUGGGAAACUGAGCAGCAACAUAGCAUGCAGGAACGCCCCAGCUCUUGCCAAGCUGUGGGACACAGGGCAUCCCACAAAGCAUUGUUGUUUGGCUUCUCCACCUGAGAGUGGGGAAGCAAUGUUGCAUGCUGGAAUGCCUUUCUCUCAAUGGCAUUCUGGUAGUGGUGGAAGUGGUGGGGUAGGAGGACCAUUGCCUCUUGUUUUUCUGCCACCUGAGGUCUCACCUUGCCUUAUGGAUGGUUCGGCUUAUAUUAUUGAUCCCAUAUUGUACUAAUCACAUUUUUUUUUAACCUCGGUAAAGGGAGUUGUGUUUUUUUUAUCUGGGUGGGUAGAGGGUGGCUCUAUUCCUGGUAUUAAAAUAGCACUAGUGAGUGGAACUUUUUUCAGGUGUAGCAUUUUAUAUUAUUUUAAAUCUCUUUUCAAGGAGUUUAUCUUGAAGAUUAUGCCAACUCAGCUUUCUCUGUGUUAAGAACUAAAUCCAGCAGUCUUCAGUCUGUUGCUUGAAUCAAAUGCACUGUUGAUUGUUGUAGGCUUUUAAGAAAAAACUAUUGAACAAACUGUAAUGGGGGUGGGGUGGGAAUUGUUUCCCAUUUUUCAUAUUCAACAUUGUUAGAGAAACGUUAAGCAAACAUGUACCUAACAAAGAUCUUCAGGUGCAGGCAACAGUAUUGAGGCAGGACCUUCUGUACUAAAACAUUACUGUAAUGCACUUAUGGCAAAUGAUUCCAGAUAGCCAAACAUAGUUUGUUCUAACCAGAGGCAGAAGAUUAUGGAUAGAAGCCUUCUCCAAAAAGUCGCACUGGUUCAUAGGCACAAAAUCUGACAAACAUACAAUCCCUAUUCUUAUUCUUUCUGAGUGUGUUUGCCUUGCAGUAGGCCAAGCUAAAUAUAUUUGUUCACUUCUAAUGCAGCUGGGAUGUACAGCUAGUGGUUAAUUUCUAAAACAAGGAGUGCUGCACUUAAAGUGUAACAAGAACUCACACUCUCCCAUAGAAGCCUUUGCAUAUAAUCUCAGGGGUGUCUGUAAUAAUGGAGUUAUGGUAGAUGUGUGUCAGUUUAAAGCAAGCUAUAGACAGCCAGCCAGCCAAAGUCCAAGAACAAAGCCAUUGCAAUUGCGCCCGUCGGCGGAAAUUAAAAGGAGCAUUGGCAAGCUCCAUAGCCGGGAGUGCUCAAGGGGCUUAAAGCCACAAGGGGCAAAGCCACCGAAGGAAGAGAAGGGAUGCGGAAGGGGAAGGGGAAGGGGAAGGGAUCAACUUAAAAUAAAGGGGGAAUGG